UUACCAGAUGUUCGAUGUAGCGUUAUAUGGUCAUUAGAGAAUAUAAUGCCUAUUUUUGGCUCUGCCAUGACUUUUUAAGGUGAUAAAGAACCAAGUAACGUUAACGUAUGUCAGCCUAGCCAACUGCUUGGGGCGCCGUUCGUUCGUGGACGGUUCAACGUCAACUAACGGUUACAGCACUGAAGACGGAGCACAUUUCGGGGAUACAAAGAAAGUUUACAGCUUGAAGAGCAGCCCUGCGCAGACCUCCAGACCUGCAGUACAAUUGUAAACAAAUCAUGGUAUUAAUGGGGAUCGAAAUGAGCCAUCCAUCUGAGGCGGUCUGUCGGCCUGCUCCUGACAGCAGCAUGAUGCCUGCACGGCCCUUAAAGAGCCAUCCAGAAAGCCCGGGCAAAUGGUGCCACUGCUCACGUUUGCACACCAUUAAAUACAUGCACGUAGCUGUGUCAGACAGCCUGACGCUCCAGGUGUGCUCUACACUAUAGUUCCUGACAGGACUUCACGCUCGCAUAGGAGAUGGGGCAAGAAGUGGCUGGACGCAUGGUGAGAGUCUGACAUUCCGCUUGUUCAUCCUGCGUCAACUACAUACACAAAUACAGGAUGUCAUUUCACAGCCGCCGCUUUAACACACUCACACUUUUAAAUGAGCGUA
Long non-coding RNA from Pygocentrus nattereri (red-bellied piranha), 652 nucleotides. RefSeq lists it as uncharacterized. The record is from RefSeq and is a predicted model, not a curated record. Lineage: Eukaryota; Metazoa; Chordata; Actinopteri; Characiformes; Serrasalmidae. The transcript is spliced from 3 exons.